AUUGAAACACUGGUUCUCGUACGAUCAUCGAAGUUAAGCAACGUCGAGCCUGGUCAGUACCUAGAUGGGUGACCGCUUGGGAAUACCAGCUGUCGUAAG
Acanthosepion pharaonis is the source of this 99-nucleotide non-coding RNA. NCBI's taxonomy places the organism in Eukaryota, Metazoa, Mollusca, Cephalopoda, Sepiida, Sepiidae. The record is from the annotation of a GenBank genome assembly.